GCGUUCAUGGCGGCUUACUGGCAGGCGACCGAGCACCUCCAUGGUAAGGAGGGGGUCGACGGUUCGAGUCCGUCAGAGGGCU
Molecule: transfer RNA, 82 nt
Filed under: Actinomycetes bacterium
Lineage: Bacteria; Bacillati; Actinomycetota; Actinomycetes
Description: Actinobacteria bacterium tRNA-Thr
Source: RNAcentral